This 528-nucleotide ribosomal RNA is filed under the name uncultured bacterium. RNAcentral's name for it is "partial 16S ribosomal RNA". It matches the Rfam family "Bacterial small subunit ribosomal RNA", at positions 355 to 898 of the family's 1533-position model. The record is from RNAcentral.
UGGGGAAUAUUGCACAAUGGGCGAAAGCCUGAUGCAGCAACGCCGCGUGAGUGAUGAAGGUCUUCGGAUUGUAGAGCUCUGUCUUUUGGGACGAUAAUGACGGUACCAAAGGAGGAAGCCACGGCUAACUACGUGCCAGCAGCCGCGGUAAUACGUAGGUGGCGAGCGUUGUCCGGAUUUACUGGGCGUAAAGGGUGCGUAGGCGGAUGUUUAAGUGAGAUGUGAAAUACCCGGGCUUAACUUGGGUGCUGCAUUUCAAACUGGAUAUCUAGAGUGCAGGAGAGGAGAAUGGAAUUCCUAGUGUAGCGGUGAAAUGCGUAGAGAUUAGGAAGAACACCAGUGGCGAAGGCGAUUCUCUGGACUGUAACUGACGCUGAGGCACGAAAGCGUGGGUAGCAAACAGGAUUAGAUACCCUGGUAGUCCACGCCGUAAACGAUGAGUACUAGGUGUAGGAGGUAUCGACCCCUUCUGUGCCGCAGUAAACACAUUAAAGUACUCCGCCUGGGAAGUACGAUCGCAAGAUUAAA